Ipomoea nil (Japanese morning glory) is the source of this 918-nucleotide long non-coding RNA. RefSeq lists it as uncharacterized. Lineage: Eukaryota; Viridiplantae; Streptophyta; Magnoliopsida; Solanales; Convolvulaceae. The transcript has 3 exons. The record is from RefSeq and is a predicted model, not a curated record.
GGGUAAUUACUGAUUCCUUUUUUUUGGAAACUGUAAUUACUGCUUCCUAAACCACCAGACCACGCCCCAGCUUCGUCGCUCUGCUUCUCCGUCCCUGAUCGCAAGUCGCCACCGCCGACCACUGGCCGUGCUAGGUGGACGGCAGUCGGCAGCUCCGUCGUCAGCUUUACGCCUCCACGAGUCCAUGAUCCCAAAUUUGCUGACCUGACAGAGUUGCAGAUUUUGGAGGAUUCUUCGACUGAUGAUCUGGUAGAAAAAGUGUUUCAAUGAUGCUAAAGUUUUUCUGUCUCGGUAUCAAAUCCGCCAAGCAUGAAAGGGAGGCUAGCACUCGCAUCUGUCAUGGGAGAGAAGAUUAACAUCUGGGUGCUGGAAUACAAGGAGCAAAAAUGGAGAAACAUAAAGGUUGUUUUUCCCUUGGAUUCAAUCAUGAAUGGCAACUUUAUUAUUCUUUAUGAAGCAAUAGGCGACAUGUUAUGGAUUUUCGUUAACGAACACCUAGUUGCUUAUAACAUGAGGACCAAUAGAAUCUCCACGCGCUGGGCAGCGCCACCUGGGCUGAAGAUUCAGUUCGUGUAUACACCUUCCUUGGUGCACUUAAAAGGAAUGACUCCGUUUGAAAGAUGCAAGAGGACUCAAAGACACUUGGCCACUUCAUUACUGCCACUGUUGCUUCCUGUUUCAGUGAUGGCUAGGAUGAUGUAAGUUUCAUCAAUGGCUCUCCACAACUCUUUCUCCUUUUAACUAUACUUGCUAGUCUUUGCUUUAACAUUUAACAGUAGGACUUCAGAACUAUUGUUCUUUUCUGUGCUUGUUCUUUUUGAAAACAUCGAUUAUGGUGUGAAUAUCUAACACUUUUAGUCAGGCUCAGGCAGAAAAUAUACCAUUUUCAUGAUUUUAAAAGAAUCUCCAAAUUCUCUC